This 497-nucleotide ribosomal RNA is filed under the name uncultured bacterium. RNAcentral describes it as "partial 16S ribosomal RNA". It matches the Rfam family "Bacterial small subunit ribosomal RNA", at positions 28 to 507 of the family's 1533-position model. The record is from RNAcentral.
GAUGAACGCUGGCGGCGUGCCUAAUACAUGCAAGUCGAGCGAACAGACGAGGAGCUUGCUCCUCUGACGUUAGCGGCGGACGGGUGAGUAACACGUGGAUAACCUACCUAUAAGACUGGGAUAACUUCGGGAAACCGGAGCUAAUACCGGAUAAUAUAUUGAACCGCAUGGUUCAAUAGUGAAAGACGGUUUUGCUGUCACUUAUAGAUGGAUCCGCGCCGCAUUAGCUAGUUGGUAAGGUAACGGCUUACCAAGGCAACGAUGCGUAGCCGACCUGAGAGGGUGAUCGGCCACACGGGAACUGAGACACGGUCCAGACGCCUACGGGAGGCAGCAGUAGGGAAUCUGCCGCAAUGGGCGAAAGCCUGACGGAGCAACGCCGCGUGAGUGAUGAAGGUCUUCGGAUCGUAAAACUCUGUUAUUAGGGAAGAACAAAUGUGUAAGUAACUAUGCACGUCUUGACGGUACCUAAUCAGAAAGCCACGGCUAACUACGUG